UUACGGCCAUAUCACAUUGAAACACCAGUUCCUGUACGAUUACCGAUGUUAAUCGACGUUGAACCUCAUUAGUACCUAGAAGGGUGACCGCUUGGGAUUACCAGGUGCUGUAAG
This is a non-coding RNA of Acanthosepion pharaonis, 114 nucleotides long. Lineage: Eukaryota; Metazoa; Mollusca; Cephalopoda; Sepiida; Sepiidae. The record is from the annotation of a GenBank genome assembly.